Molecule: ribosomal RNA, 351 nt
Filed under: Triticum aestivum (bread wheat)
Lineage: Eukaryota; Viridiplantae; Streptophyta; Magnoliopsida; Poales; Poaceae
Description: partial small subunit ribosomal RNA
Source: RNAcentral
AUGACAUUGUGGAGCUUCACCGUAGCAUUAUCAUGUGCAUAUCUUUUUCCUUGUAUAUUUCCUGUAUUUUUAUUCUUGUUCGGACUGUCAAUGUAUGAUCUUGUACAUAUUUUUUUGGUGCAAGAGGAGAUAGUUGUUGGUAUCUUUGAUGUCAUAUGUUCAAAUAUUAAUUUACAAAGGGUGAGAAAAACCAAAUCCAUUCCAUUGCAUUUCUCCAACCAAACAUCAAGAUGUUACCAUUCCAUUCCACACAUUGUCCUCAACCAAACACGCGAACGGAACCAACCCAUUCUAAUGAAAUGGAACCAUGACAUUCCAUUCCACUACAUUCCUCGACCAAACACACCCUAA